Molecule: long non-coding RNA, 7436 nt
Filed under: Brassica napus (rape)
Lineage: Eukaryota; Viridiplantae; Streptophyta; Magnoliopsida; Brassicales; Brassicaceae
Description: long non-coding RNA (BNAP_LNC016788)
Source: RNAcentral
GAUAUAAUCUUGAUCAGUGAGCCACCAAAUAGACUCGUUCAUAACAUCAUAAACCCUCCAGCAAACAAACGAAGAGAUUCCAGAUGGGAGUUCAACGCCUUUGGGAAGAAAGGUAACUUUACACGGAUGAAGCAAAGACGCAGCAGGUAUCUCAUCCUCGUGAAAGGAAUAAAAUAUCUCGUUAGGCUGAGCCUCCAAAAGGACGCCCUUGCCAAGCUUCAACUCACCGGGUCGGUAGAGCCAAUUCACACGCAGCUUAAAGUUGCCUUCUUUUUCAGGAAGAAGCAAACGGAUCAAACCAAUGAACGGUGGACAAUCCUGAGGCGGCUUAAACAGAGCACAGUCACCAACACUAAUCCUCCUCCCGUCCUGCAAAAAAAGAUCAAAACUUUUAAAUCCAAUUGAACCAAUCUCGACUUUAAAACCCAAUUGAAUGAAUAUUUGACAAAUCAAGCACUAAUCGUUACCUUAGAGAAGGAAGAAGGUGAAGAGAGAGAUACAGACGAAGAACCAGAAGCCUCCAAGCUUGAAAUUAGACGCGAAGGAGGUCUAAACAUAAGCCGACGAUGACCUUUCUUCCUAUCCUCAGAAAGCCCCCUCCCAUGCAUAGACGACGUCUCUCAUUUUUUUUUUUACCCCUUUUCAAAAUACACAAUUCGAUUCGAUUGAAAACCCUAAUUAAGCGAAGAAGAAGAAGAAGGAGAUACGAUUACGAUUCCAGUACCUGAUCCGCGAAUAUCUAACCACGAGAAGAACGAUUAAUCCGUAGAGAGCCGGAGACCGAAGAACGCGAAUCGAAAGCCGCCUUUGAUUUUUUUUUUCUUUUCGAUCCAGCGAGCGAGAGAAAGAGAGAGAGAGAGAGUUUUUUUUUUUUUUAUCAACAAGAAGAAAAAAAAUAGAAUCGAGAGAGAAAGGGGAUUACUACUUUGGAAGAAGUCGGGCAGUUCGGGCAUGAGUUUCGGGCAGCGUUUUGUUUAUUUUUUUACUUUUUUCAGGUGACAUUUGAGAGAUUUUGGAUGGUUUUUUCACCCUUUUUAAUAGCUCUUUUGACUUUCUUUUCUUUUCUUAAAUUAAAAACAUAACAAAAUCCGUGAUUUGUUAAAAUUUUAUUUAGAUUUAAACAAAAAAAAAAAUCUAAAGUUUUAUGAGAACAAAGAUAAGAUCAUUCCAAUCCUCUUUUUUUUAGAAAUAGAAAAUUUAUAAAAUAAAUCUGAGUUUCUUUCAAAUAUUUUUUAAAUAGAUAAAUAUUACCCAUUUUCUUUUGGCGAACUCCAAAAACAGCGGCUGCUACAGAAAAUUUGAACUAUCACCACGGCAAAACACAUCAUAGCAUAGCACUCAUGAAACAACGCCAACCUGCUUUUCUUGACGUUGCGGCUGAUUGCGAGGGGGUGAAAGGAACGCUGAUUUUUUUCAGCGUCAACUGCUUUCCUUAUUUUGUAUUUCGAGCGGUUUACGAGUAACCAUUUUAAUUCUUCGUGCGGUCAAAUUUGCUUCCGUUGUACCUGUAAUUUUUUGUCGCAACGGUGGUUUUGAUGUUCACCAAAAGAACGAGGGUAUUAUAUUAUCCACCAUUUAUAGAAAAAAUAAUAAUAUUUUAUAUAAACAGAGAGAAAUAUAACAUUUCUAUAUUUCAGUGGAACAUAUUAAAAAAAAAUGUGAGUUUCACUCCAAUGUUUUGUUUGAAAUAGAUAAAUUUUAUACUAUCCAACAUUUAUAGAAGAAAAUAUAGUAUUUCUCUGUAAAUCAAGAGAAAUGUAACAUUCUUAUUAUGCAUAUGAAUAUUCCUAUGUUUUAGCGGACAAAAAUAGAAGAGAAUUGGUUUUUUUGUUAGUAAAUAUGUAUAUUUUUAUAGCAAUUUAUUUUUUUUAAAUAAUACUAAUUAAUAAAGUGUAUGUUAAAGUUUGCAAAAACCGAUCAAUUUAUAUAAUAAUACAAUUGUGAGUUGUUCCGGUUAUUCUGGCCGAUUCCGGUUCGAAUGCCCUGACCUACCCCCGACAAUAAAUAAUUUUAUUAUGUUAGUAAUGUGAAUGCUUGUCGUUACAUUGUCCAGUGUCAAAUCACUAUCAACAAAGUACAAGUGACCAAUCAUUUGUCUCUCUUGACACAAACAUUUAACUUUUCACAAUGAGAUCUUAAUACACUACAGAAGCCAUUUGAGCGAGUCGAUUGUCUUCUUCACCCACCGAUUGCUCCUAGACAUGUUCUUCACGGAGCACAGAAUAUGCAAGUAGCAAUCAAGGUUUCCUAAUUUUGAACCGAAGAGACGAGAAGAAGAAAAGAGAUCAGAAAAUGAAGCAUAUAUAGUCGCCUAAACACAUGCCUUCAUCGAAAUUUAAUGUUUUGUAUCUUUAAUGAAACUCAUCGAACUCAUGACUAAAUUGGCUCUUGUGCCACAUCGUUGCUUACAAGCGUUGUAACAUCAUGCAAGAGUAGCCAUUAUGCACUGCUUUUGGGAGUUACGCAACUGCCGAAUACCUCAACCAGACUUGAGCUGACAGCAUCAUGAUGAACCAGAGGCACAAUCAUCAGAACACAACACACGUAUUCUUCAAUUCUUAAGCCACAAGUGUAUUUAUUGCCAUUGAGAGUGUUCUGCAUGUUUUGUUCUAUGCCUUAAACCAAAAUGUAAUGAGGUAUACGAGUAUUCGAUUAGCUUGCUAAUCAUUGUGAUUUUGAGUUACAUAAUCAUAUGAUCUGGAAGUUGUAAACUACUUUUUCUCCAUUUUAAGAGUCUUUGAACUAAUUCUUGACGUUUCUUGUUUUCAACGAAUUUAUAUUUGGGGUUGAUAAACUAGUAUUAAUGGGCCGGAUAGCCGGAUCUUACGAAAUUUGAAUGGCCCAGAUAGACCAGUCUUACCAAACAUGGCCUGCUCCGGCUCAAAACAAAAGUACCUUUCUCUGUUUUUCUUGUUUUCUAUAUCAAAAGCACCUUUCGGUUAGACAGGUUAAAGAUAUGUACUUUUAUUACUCAGACCGACGUUUCCUUAGCUUAAAAAGAAAAUAGUUAGCUUUUUUGUAACCAUAGAAGGUCAAAAGAUAUAGCUAUACAUCACGUCAUAAAUUACAUGAUUACAAUACAACUUUUUUUAUUUGGUAUGGGGAAGAGAACAGAGAAAGACUGGAGCAGGCUGGCUCGUACCUCUAAACCAACCAUGAGCCAGCGUCUGUCGACAUCCUAAUUAGAAUUAUCAAAACUAUAGUACUAUACAUUAAGAACUGUACAUUUGUGUAAAACACUUAGCAGCAUAUUUACCGGAUUAAUUAUCACAAACGACUAUAGAAAACCAUAUUUACAACAAACAUCUACCAGUAAAACUAAAAAAAACAUCAACAAUGGGACCCAUGUUUACAACAAACAUACCAGUAAGACUAAAAAAAACAUCAACAAUGGUAUAGUGUUGAUGGUUCUAUAAUCUGUCAAAACUAGGAUUAAAUAUUCAAAAUUGAUAAAACUUCUAAAUCCAAAUAAACUAAUUCGACAAACCGUAUAAUCUUAUAUGAUAAAUCUGUGUAAAUUUUUCAUACUAUAAAAGUAUAAAACAUGGACUCUCAAUUUUUUGUUUAGUAUAAUAUUUUAGUUAGUUUACUUAUAUAUAUAUAUAUAAAAAUUAACAUAUAAAAUGAUAACGUUUACAUUUUUCAGUAUCGCUUCUUUUUUUCACAAACAUUUUACAGUAUUGCUAGUUUAAAAUUUGACUGCGAUGCUGAAAUGAAAAUGUUUAUUAGUAUCAGUUACCACUUCGUUUUAGGCAUUAUUUGGAUGAUAUUGUAAAUCUAAAAAUAUUAUGGGGUAAAAAGCAGAGGCACAUGAGAGUUAGGGGUAUUGUGUAGUUUCCAAAAAGCAAGCUUCUCUCGUCCUCCCAUGUGCUUCCUCUCCCACUGUCCCCCCUUUUUCCUUUUUCGAUUAAAUCCAAAUUAGUUAAUUUCUAUUUCAUCCUUUUCUUUUGUCGGCUUUUAAUUUCUUAUCACACUUGUUGUUUUAUAUUCUUUUUCUUUUGUCAAAAGUUUUUUUUUUCUAUUCUCUAUCACGCUUUCUACACCUAUUUUGACUGGGUUCACAUUCACAAUAAUAAUAAUAAUAAUAAUAAUAAUAAUAAUAGAAACUCAGAAUGUUUGCAUCAGUUUCAACAGUGACAACUUGUGAGUGUCCAAUCUCAAUGAUUAUGUGGUCAUGCUCCAUAAUAUUAUUAUGAAAAGUCCCUCUCAUUGGCUUAAAUGCUUUCUUUGUUUUAAGUACUGCUAAAUUACUUAAUUCACUAAUUAGUGAUUUAAUUACUAUACUUGUAUAAUGUUUCAAGCCAGAUUCUCAAUCACGUGCAAAAUUCCUUACAAAACAAUAUAGCUGCUUAGCCAUCAACUAAUUACGGAGUUUACAUAUCCAUAUACCUGUCGGAUAUUCAAAUUAGUUAGUACAUUCUUGACCAAAUUUUAAAAAAAUUAAUUAGUACAUUUAUAUGACUGACGUAAAUGAAUGCAUAUCUCAUUUCAAGAUUUCAGUGUUGUGUUUGCCUUAAAGGCUCGCGUGGAUAAAAGAAAAUUUCAUGAGAUUUUGAAUGUACAAACAUGUAACUGUUACGAUACAACACUUAUUAAUUUCAUUGUCCAUGCAUACGUAAAACGUGACUAGUUUUAUGUUUACUGUUUAUUUGCGUGGUUUUCGUUCAUACAUUGCAAAUUGUCGGCAAGAUAUAUCAAGUUGGGUCACUACAGACUACAGUUGUGAUAGUUAUUACCAUAAAUUAAUUUGAAAACGAUGCAUCAAUUGUUUUGACAAAACGUUGAGUUAAUGCUUAAUUAGUAGAACAAACAACAAUAGUUGUAGUGAAGAAAAUAUAAAUAACACGCAUCUCUUAUGAAUAGUAGUAACAUAUUGAUCUUAAUAAAGUUGUACUUGUUGAGAUAUUUACUUAACUAAUUAACCGGUUUAUCUCAGUUGACUAAUUAACCUUAACACACUUCUUAUUGUUGUUUGAGUUUGUUAAAGACACACAAGAUUUGGUUACCCAGUUCCCUUUUGGUACAUCUGGAGAGAGGACGACACUCUCAACGAUUCACUAGCAUCAAGUGUAUACAAUAGCUUUCUACACAACCACCUCAGUGUUUCUCUAUCAAUAUCACCUUUGGUUUAUCUUCCACCUGAGCACCACCAACAGCACCCAAGUGUGAAUCUUCAGCAGUCAAAGAAUCCUCAUUUUGACUUUUGCCAACGGUUUUACAUUUACGUAAGGCAGAGUUUCCUGUCCUCAUCACUGUAUCUGCCACUCCAUCUGUCUCUGAUAUCUCUUCAGUCUUUACGUCAGCAACUACCCGACUAUCACCAUCAUCAGAAAUGUUUCCCCUAAUGCCUGAUGUGUGCCCAGCGGUUGGGGCAAUAUCAUCUGAAUUUUCAUUGCUUUCUAGGCACUGAUCCACCAAUCUUUGCAACUCUUCCAUUUCUGAAUCAGAGGGCUUAGAAUCAUUCACAUUCACUACAGAGGCCAACUGGUCGCCAAUACUACUGACAUGUUCAACAAUGGUGGGAUCCUUGGCAAGAGCUUCAGCUUGCUCGUUAGGCAAACCUGUUAUAUGGUUCUCUGAAAUAUCAUUCAUCAAGGAAUCUGAAACCAGGGAUACCGCGGGUGAUGCAACAGGGGAUUUGGAAAUUUCAUCAGCAGCAGCAGAAGCUAGAAGAUUCAUUCCAACGUCAUCCACACCAGCCUCACAUGCAUUUGCCUCAGAGUCCCUGACACAACUUUCAAUCAAGGCAUUCAUUGAGCUGUGUGAUCCACUAUCCCCUUUUCCAGGUUUGACAACAUCUCCUAAGGUAGGAGACGUGGGUUUGAUAAUAUCUUCUAUUUUACUAGACCCAUCAACGCUAAAAUUAGGUCGAUUUGUAUCAUUGUUCUCUGAAGGAACAGGUGAUGGAGCCCUGCUACUACCAGCUGCAUGAUCCUCAAAGGAACCUCCACUAAAACUCUGUGCCGGACUGCGACCACGUUUUGGCAGCUUAACAAUUAACUUGUUACUGCAACCUUCAGCCAUAGGUAUGUCAGGAGUCUUUUCAGUUGCUGUUCUUUGUGAUGAGAAGCUCCUGCUCAGCCCAACUUCCCUAUGGACUGCACCAGUAUCUCUUUGUUGCCCAUCAUUAACGACAGCUACACCUGUUCCAAGUGAUGGUGCUGAUCUAGUAGAACUUGGAGAUGUGGUUGCAGACUUCAUGUUGUUAUCUGACGGUAUUAUGACAGACACGGACUUAGAAGGAUGUUGAUGAGAUGCUGAUGUCCUGGCUGCAUCAGCAGAUACACCUGAAUGUCUACCGCCAUGAGAAACUUCAGACUGACGAUAUCUUCCAGGCCAAGAUGCACCCUGAUUAGAUCCCGACUUGGCAUCCAUUUCUGCCUCAACACGUUUCUUCCAUGUAUCAACCAAGCUCCUUGCCUUUUUCCCGAUUUCCGAGUUCUUAUGUGAUCGCAAAUGGUUAACAGACUUUCCAAUGUUGCAAGUCUGAAGAGCAUUGAGAUUCACAGGCAGCUUGUCAAGAGCACGCAGCAAGAUCAAAAGAAAAUCGUCCACUGAUCUACCAUUGUCUUUGGGACUGCUCCCAUCCCCAAUUUUCCCUUUAUGAAUUUCCUGUAGCCACUCAUCAAAAACAGGUAAUCCCCUCAGCUGGACAAAACGACUGAGGCAAUCAAACUUGUCUGUUGCUGCUACAACACUUGCAAGAAUGGAUCGCCCAAUCAAAUCUGUUUUCUUCUCGUUCUUCUCGGGCAGCAUGAGCUGUACCAAUUUCUCAACCCCUUCAGAAUCCACUAGCCUCCCUCUCUCAGUAAUUUUUGCAAUCUCAGAUUUCAAACUGCUUUCUGUUCUUACAAAACCAGAACCACCAUCAUCAAUCCGACUUGGGCGUUCUCUUUUCACAGAUUCAGAACCCUGAUCACCACGCUCUCUCUUCCUUCCUUUGCCCUGUGAAGAAGAGGAGCUGCUGUUCUGCAUACCUUCUGUUCCUGUUUUCGCUUGAGAUGUUGUCGGACUAUUCGUUGACUUAGGAGAACGACCACCCUGCUGUAAUGUCAUCUUGGAACGAGUCUUACGCAAUAAGUUAUCUACUUCUUGUUGACGUUCCUGCAUAAAGAAAAACAGUUGUCAAAACCAGAGAAGAAACAGAAUUGGAUAAUAAUGAUUAUGAUCUCACUCACUCACAUCGAUAUAAUCUUGAUCAGUGAGCCACCAAAUAGACUCGUUCAUAACAUCAUAAACCCUCCAGCAAACAAACGAAGAGAUUCCAGAUGGGAGUUCAACGCCUUUGGGAAGAAAGGUAACUUUACACGGAUGAAGCAAAGACGCAGCAGGUAUCUCAUCCUCGUGAAAGGAAUAAAAUAUCUCGUUAGGCUGAGCCUCCAAAAGGACGCCCUUGCCAAGCUUCAACUCACCGGGUCGGUAGAGCCAAUUCACAC